AAAAUUAGAAACCUAGUGCUUGUGGACCAGGCUUGUACAGAGCUGCUGCCAUUUGUCAGUGCUGGCUGUGGAGGACACACUCCUGCAACAUGAAGAACAACUGAAAGAAACCAGGAAACAAAAGCAAAGCUGAAAAACUGAAGGAGUAUGUUUGUAGCAGCAGCUGCUGCAGAGUUGAAAAAAAAAAAAGAACUCCAGUGAGAGGCAGAAGAUGUUCCCUGGAAAAGCACUUCAACCAGCCUGGGAACAGCACAAGAUACUUCUGGCCGUGCUGCAGCCAGAGAACAGGAGACCAGCAGGUACCAGUCUACAGCUGGGGCACAAUAAAACCCUUCUACAAGCUGAGCCAAGAAUAAUCUUCUUUAAAAGCGCUUUACUACUUGCAAAUGUUGUUGCUCUUGUCCAAGUGUUUUGUAUUUGCUUCAGUGCAGUUCCAUUUUUUUUUCUUUUGAGAUAAUUAGGGGCUUAUUUUAAACCAAAGGGUAUUUCUGGGAGUUCUUUGGGUUUUUAAAUUAUACAAAUGAUAGCACUGUGAUGUUGAAUCAUAUUAUUAAUUGUAUAUUUUGUUGUUCUUAUUUCUGAAGUAUGUGUGAAACAAAGUUUUUUAUUUCUCAGUCCUUGAAUACAAUAAGUUUCAAAAAAGUCCUUAGGCGGAUUGCAAAAUUAUUUUUCUCAAUUUUCUUAAUGUUAAACAAAAGUAUAAUUUUAUUACUGCAGAGUAUUAUGCGCUGAUAGUUUAACAACAUUGUGUAUGCACUGUGAAUAGAAGAAACUUCACAAAUGAUUGUACUUAAAGCUGGAGCCCUUUCUGUAAAUUUUAAACAAAGAGUUCUAUUAAAUGCCAUCUAUAAAAUGCUUGAUGACUUACCUCCUAGGCUGAUUUGUGAUUUUUCCUGUGCUUUUGAAUACCUACCUGGAUGAAAAACUCUCUUUCUACAGGAAACUGGUUGGUAACUGAAUAAAUAACACUAUAAUUUAAGUAUUGAACACUUCCACAUAAUAAGUGUUAUUUUGCAAUAGAUUCUUCUUGCUGUAGCAUAAAAUGGAAGUACUCUUUCUAUAAAUAAAUAAUACUUGGAAUAAAAGCGGUUUGCAAACAUUAUACUUAAUUUAUGUCUCAGCUGCCGAUUUCUGCAGUGAAUUCUACCAGUUUUCACACUGUGCCCAUUACAAAUGGAAUUGCCUUUGCAUUAGAAGACAUGUCUUUCAAUGACGCAGAAAAAUAUAUUUGUGCUUCAUUCUUAUGUUAGCUGGGUAAGAAUACAUCUGUCAUACAACAUCCAACUCAAUAAAAUAAAAAAACUGA
Haemorhous mexicanus (house finch) is the source of this 1306-nucleotide long non-coding RNA. RefSeq lists it as uncharacterized. The record is from RefSeq and is a predicted model, not a curated record. Lineage: Eukaryota; Metazoa; Chordata; Aves; Passeriformes; Fringillidae. The transcript is spliced from 2 exons.